This 228-nucleotide long non-coding RNA is filed under the name Elaeis guineensis (African oil palm). RNAcentral's name for it is "long non-coding RNA (EGUI_LNC071684)". Lineage: Eukaryota; Viridiplantae; Streptophyta; Magnoliopsida; Arecales; Arecaceae. The record is from RNAcentral.
UUUGGUAGCGUACAGUAUGAUCAGACUGAUCCACUAGGAUGUAGGUAUAUAACCGGUGGCACUGAUUUUAUAUAAUAAAUGACUGCAUGUUUUCACAUAAUAACAUAGUGGCUUUGUUUUGGACAGGUGAAGGACUCGACUGAUUGGUGCUAGCAAUCCGGUGCCGUACACAGUCAUAUAUUAUAGAAAUCAGCUAGAUCAGCAGCGUGAUGAUCAGAUACUGUGGGU